UGCAGUUUAAAACAGCAGGAGGUAAUAACACAAAAUUAAAGGCAAAAGUGCGUAGAAGUGUGCUCCUGGGGAGCCAGGGCUGACAGACCUGCUGUAGUGCUCUCAGAGGCUUUGCACACUCCAAUAUAGACAGAUCUGCUAGAACAAACAUUGACAGUUCCACAGCACAAUCCACUGAUCCAGUGGUUUAUUAAAUGUGCUGUAGCUCGCAGGUAAGAAAUGCUAAUCCUCAUUGGGACAGCUACAAGCAAAUGAGCCAUCCCUAAAAGCUUACAGCGUUGCACUCAAAUCAUUUCACAACCAGCAUCCCUCAUCGCUCAUACAACAAUGCUGUGAAAAUACCCUCCCUGAUAAAUUGCAAAUUCCUAAAGCAAGACGGAACCUAGCAUCUCUUCCCACCUUCCAGGCGCAGCGGAAGGACUGCAGAGGCAACCAGCAACACCUCAGACUCCGGAGGUCAGCUUUAUCGCCUUCGAGUUUUUCUGAAGCCCUGCCUGAUUAGACGCACUCCGGACCGACUUUCAUUCGGAUCAAACGUGACGUGCUGGCGACACGCACGCAAAGCUGGCGGAGCAGCCACGCAGCAAAGCCUUCAGCAGGCAGGAGGAGGUGGAACGUCUUUUUUAAAACAAUGCACAGCUCCCCCCAGAAGAGAACAAGUACCCCCUUUGAAAAUGUAUGUGCCUAAAAGUGGCUGUACUUCGAACACAGACCGAUACGCCACGUUUUCACUCUGAUGAGCUCAAGGAGAGACGUGUUGUUGUCAAACACUGCAGAGAAUAAAACUGUUCUAUCUGA
This is a long non-coding RNA of Columba livia (rock pigeon), 798 nucleotides long. RefSeq lists it as uncharacterized. Lineage: Eukaryota; Metazoa; Chordata; Aves; Columbiformes; Columbidae. The transcript is spliced from 2 exons. The record is from RefSeq and is a predicted model, not a curated record.